AUUGAACGCUGGCGGCAGGCCUAACACAUGCAAGUCGAACGGAGCGGCGGACGGGUGAGUAAUGCCUAGGAAGCUGCCCGGUAGUGGGGGAUAACGUCCGGAAACGGGCGCUAAUACCGCAUAAUAUCAGAUGAGCCUAGGUCGGAUUAGCUAGUUGGGGGGGUAAAGGCCUACCAAGGCGACGAUCUGUAACUGGUCUGAGAGGAUGAUCAGUCACAGUGGAACUGAGACACGGACCAGACUCCUACGGGAGGCAGCAGUGGGGAAUAUUGGGCAAUGGGCGAAAGCCUGAGCAAGCCACGCCGCGUGUGUGAAGAAGGUGUUCGGAUUGUAAAGCUCUGUAAGUUGAGAGGCGUUACCUACCGAGUAAGCACCGGCUAACUUCGUGCCAGCCGCCGCGGUAAUAC
RNAcentral lists this ribosomal RNA (407 nucleotides) under uncultured bacterium. RNAcentral's name for it is "partial 16S ribosomal RNA". It matches the Rfam family "Bacterial small subunit ribosomal RNA", at positions 30 to 526 of the family's 1533-position model. The record is from RNAcentral.